GACGAACGCUGGCGGCAGGCCUAACACAUGCAAGUCGAGCGCACCUUCGGUUGAUCGGCGGACUGGUGAGUAACGCGUGGGAAUAUUCCCUUCUCUACGGCAUACUCCUGGGUAACUGGUAGUAAUACCGUAUACGCCCUUUUGGGGGAAGAUUUAUCGGGGUGGGAUUAGCCCGCGUUGGAUUAUGUGGGUGGUGGGGUAAUGGCCUACCAAGCCGACGAUCCAUAGCUGGUUUGAGAUGAGGAUAAGUCACACUGGGACUGAGACACGGACCAGACCCGGACGCAGGGGAGGAGAGGAGAAUAUUAGACAAGGGAGGCAACCGUGAUAAAGCCAUGCGGGGGAAGAGAGGAAGCGGGUAGGGUAGCAAAGCCGUCUCAGAUGAGAAGAGAAUGACGGUAAUAGGAGAAGAAGCACCGGCUAACUACGUG
RNAcentral lists this ribosomal RNA (431 nucleotides) under uncultured bacterium. RNAcentral describes it as "partial 16S ribosomal RNA". It matches the Rfam family "Bacterial small subunit ribosomal RNA", at positions 28 to 507 of the family's 1533-position model. The record is from RNAcentral.